GUAGUGGGAGAAGAAGCACCGGCCAACAUGCAGCCAGCAGCCGCGGAUUAUCGAUGGCAGCGAGCGUCGUCCGGAAUUACUGGGCGUAAAGAGCUCGUAGGCGGUUUGUCGCGUCGUCUGUGAAAACCCGCAGCUCAACUGCGGGCUUGCAGGCGAUACGGGCAGACUCGAGUACUGCAGGGGAGACUGGAAUAGCUGGUGUAGCGGUGAAAUGCGCAGAUAUCAGGAGGAACACCGGUGGCGAAGGCGGGUCUCUGGGCAGUAACUGACGCUGAGGAGCGAAAGCGUGGGUAGCGAACAGGAUUAGAUACCCUAGUAGUCCACGCCGUAAACGGUGGGCGCUAGGUGUGGGUUUCCUUCCACGGGAUCCGUGCCGUAGCCAACGCAUUAAGCGCCCCGCCUCCCGAGUACGCGC
This 415-nucleotide ribosomal RNA is filed under the name Rhodococcus sp. enrichment culture clone Ding8. RNAcentral describes it as "bacterial SSU rRNA". It matches the Rfam family "Bacterial small subunit ribosomal RNA", at positions 475 to 887 of the family's 1533-position model. Lineage: Bacteria; Bacillati; Actinomycetota; Actinomycetes; Mycobacteriales; Nocardiaceae. The record is from RNAcentral.